GUUAUUACAACCUUUGCUAAUCUGCAUUCCUGGUUUCAAGGUAUUUAAGUCUUUGCUCGAAACAUGAAUAAACAAAUUUUGAAAGUUUGGUUAUGAUUUCACUAUCAGUUGACUUCCUUAGGUCCGCUGAUAGAGUUUGAGUGUUUAGAUUAAUUUCGUCAGAUGAAGCAUUCUCUAAUGAACUUCGAAGGUUUGCACGAGAUUGCUCAUAGCUAGGCUUUCCACCUCUCCUGAAUUGCAGAUUUUACAUUCAAAUGCAGCAUUCAAAUGCUGGUAUCAUCUGCAAAAAGCAAACACUCUGCCAACUCCGUAGGAUUAGGGAGAUCAUUUAUAUAAAGUAGGAAAAAUAAAGGGCCUAAUAUUGAACCCUGAGGAACCCCGCACUUAAUAAUCCGUUCGAUGGAAUCGGUCUCAUUGAACUGGACAAAUU
Molecule: non-coding RNA, 430 nt
Organism: Paramuricea clavata
Lineage: Eukaryota; Metazoa; Cnidaria; Anthozoa; Malacalcyonacea; Plexauridae
Source: the annotation of a GenBank genome assembly